RNAcentral lists this ribosomal RNA (245 nucleotides) under uncultured bacterium. RNAcentral describes it as "partial 16S ribosomal RNA". It matches the Rfam family "Bacterial small subunit ribosomal RNA", at positions 524 to 768 of the family's 1533-position model. The record is from RNAcentral.
GACGUAGGUGGCGAGCGUUACUCGGAAUUACUAGGCGUAAAGCGCGUGUAGGCGGGUGCCUAAGUCCGUUGUUGAAUCUCCGGGCCCAACCCGGAAAUGUCAAUGGAUACUGGGCGUCUUGAGUGAGGCAGAGGAAGCUGGAAUUCCCGGUGUAGCAGUGAAAUGCGUAGAUAUCGGGAGGAACACCAGUGGCGAAGGCGGGCUUCUGGGCCUUUACUGACGCUAAGACGCGAAAGCUAGGGGAG